This is a transfer RNA of Felis catus (domestic cat), 85 nucleotides long. It matches the Rfam family "tRNA". From Rfam's summary of the family: Transfer RNA (tRNA) molecules are approximately 80 nucleotides in length. Their secondary structure includes four short double-helical elements and three loops (D, anti-codon, and T loops). The record is from Rfam. Lineage: Eukaryota; Metazoa; Chordata; Mammalia; Carnivora; Felidae.
GCCCGGGUGGCUCAGUCGGUUGAGCGUCCGACUUCAGCUCAGGUCACGGUCUCACGGUUUGUGGGUUCGAGCCCCGCGUCGGGCU